This is a non-coding RNA of Ictidomys tridecemlineatus (thirteen-lined ground squirrel), 341 nucleotides long. NCBI's taxonomy places the organism in Eukaryota, Metazoa, Chordata, Mammalia, Rodentia, Sciuridae. The record is from RefSeq and is a predicted model, not a curated record.
UCUGUGGGGCUGAGAGGGAGGCUUAAAGAUUCAUCAUGAUUUCUCCUUAUAGUCCUAUACAACAUGCAUACGUGUUACGUUGUGACAGCAGUAACUGAGGGGAAUGGGUAGAGAUGUACAAAAAGAACAUUUUCUGGUCCUGAAGCUAUGGUGCUCGAGCUUCACACCAAGUUGUUUCUCUGGCUCAUGUUAAAGUCUUAAGACAAAAGAGAAUAAUCUAAUCAGAAGAGACCCGUGGUUCAGUCGAGAGUAUAUGAAUGUCUAAGCUUCUUUGCAUAACAUCAUUGAGCUUUCAAAGAAUCUCUUUUCCUUUUCAUCUCAAUAUUAAAAAUAUAAACCAA